UACAGAGGUGGCAAGCGUUGUUCGGAAUUACUGGGCGUAAAGGGCGCGUAGGCGGCCUUCUAAGUCGGACGUGAAAGCCCCAGGCUUAACCUGGGAACUGCGUCCGAUACUGGGAGGCUUGGAUUCGGGAGAGGGAUGUGGAAUUCCAGGUGUAGCGGUGAAAUGCGUAGAUAUCGGGAGGAACACCAGUGGCGAAGGCGGCAUCCUGGACCGACAUUGACGCUGAUGAGCGAAAGCUAGGGGAGCAAACGGG
Molecule: ribosomal RNA, 253 nt
Filed under: uncultured bacterium
Lineage: Bacteria
Description: partial 16S ribosomal RNA
Rfam family: Bacterial small subunit ribosomal RNA
Source: RNAcentral